Molecule: ribosomal RNA, 701 nt
Filed under: uncultured bacterium
Lineage: Bacteria
Description: bacterial SSU rRNA
Rfam family: Bacterial small subunit ribosomal RNA
Source: RNAcentral
AACAGGAUUAGAUACCCGGGUAGUCCACGCCGUAAACGAUGGAUACUAGCUGUUGGAGGUAUCGACCCCUUCAGUAGCGAAGCUAACGCGUUAAGUAUCCCGCCUGUGGAGUACGGUCGCAAGACUAAAACAUAAAGGAAUUGACGGGGAGCCGCACAAGUAGCGGAUUAUGUUCUUUAAUUCGAUGAUAACCGAAGAACCUUACCAGGGUUUGACAUCCUUGGAAUUUCUAUGAAAGUAGAGAGUGCUUUAUUGAGCCAAGUGACAGGUGCUGCAUGGCCGUCGUCAGCUCGUGUCGUGAGAUGUUUGGUUAAGUCCAUCAACGAGCGCAACCCUUGUGAAUAGUUGUAUUUUUCUAUUCAGACUGCCCCGGUAACGGGGAGGAAGGAGGGGAUGAUGUCAGGUCAGUAUUGCCCUUACACCCUGGGCUAGAAACAUAAUACAAUGGUUAGUACAAUGCGCAGCGAAGCCGCGAGGUGGAGCAAAUCGCAUCAAAGCUAAUCUCAGUUCGGAUAAGAGGCUGAAACUCGCCUCUUUGAAGUUGGAGUUACUAGUAAUCGCAGAUCAGCAAGCUGCGGUGAAUACGUUCCCGGCUCUUGUACACACCGCCCGUCAAACCAUGAAAGUCACCAACACCCGAAGUCCGAUUCGUCGGCCUAAGGUGGGGGGGAUGAUUGGGGUUAAGUCGUAACAAGGUAACC